This 67-nucleotide transfer RNA is filed under the name Otitoma sp. MNHN IM 2013-9848. RNAcentral's name for it is "tRNA-Thr". It matches the Rfam family "tRNA". From Rfam's summary of the family: Transfer RNA (tRNA) molecules are approximately 80 nucleotides in length. Their secondary structure includes four short double-helical elements and three loops (D, anti-codon, and T loops). The record is from RNAcentral. Lineage: Eukaryota; Metazoa; Mollusca; Gastropoda; Neogastropoda; Turridae.
GUAACAGUAGCUUAAUUAAGAGCAUUGGUCUUGUAAGUCAAAAGUGAAUUCUAUUAUUCCUGUUACU